GGCCACAUGCAAGUUUUCGCAACAAGCUGCAGCUGCGAGCAUGGCGAGUUUCCCCGAAGAUGCCAUGGAAGCCUUCAACACCCGCCGCGGUGGCUCGUGUCGUAGGGAGCCCGAGGUGGCGCGUCAACAACCCUCGGCGCCGCUAUGACUAAACGCGAUCGGCGGAUCAACUAUUGUGAGCGAAAUCGCCAACGCCUUCACGGUUCAACUGAAGCGGGGGGAUUUCCUGGAAGGAGAUGCCUUGCGGUGCCUUUUCAUGGUCCUUUGAAGACGCCAGACGAUGGACAGCUGCGGAGGCCACUGUGCCAGGUCCGCUCCGGAAUUUAGAGGCGCCGGACAAGGGAAAUUUGGUGGCCAUGGUGCCUGGUCAGCUCGUGGAGCCAACGCGCCUUUCAAGACUCAAGGUAAUGGGCAAGGGGCGGGUCGACUGCGCUGACGUUUGACGCUGCUAAUCGGCAGUGAAAACUGUGCGUAUGUGUGUGUGUAAACUAUCCCGCAGAGAGGCGGCUUGUUUGCAAUGACGUCGAACGUUUUGCCUCACCUAGGGAUCUAGGGAACACGAAGUGUUUAAAAACGGCUGUUUGUCGGCUGCUAAUCGGCAGUGAAAACUGUGCGUACGUGUGUGUGUAAACCGUCCCGCAGAGAAACGGCUUGUUUACGAUGACGUCCAACGUUUUGCCUCACCUAGGGAUCUAGGGAACAGGAAGUGUUUAAAAACGGCUGCUUGUCGGCUGCUAGGUGUGCUCGUCGUCGUGCUUUGUGAUCGUACCCGUGAGCUACGUGCUCGUGGCUGUUUGCUUCGUCUUGCGGGCUCCAUUUGGGAGUCGCGCUAGACUGUGUAAAUGUAUCCUAUGUUUAAACUGUAAAUACUGUAAAUAAACCUUGCUCGCCUAGCCCUGUCGCCCCAAGUUCCUCCGAUCGUCCUACAAGCCCGACACCAAAUCUUACAUCUGGAUGGCAGCGGUGAGAUCGGCCUACGGCUCGUAGAUCAGCCUACAACUCGGAGACAGCAAUGGCAGCUCACGGACUUUGGCACAUGGUGACCGACCGGUAUCCUGAUCAAGUUGGAGGCGACUUGAGAUUGACCACCUCUUGCAACUGACUGGAUACGGCGGAGAAGGACUGGUGAUAUGGUGCUGCUUCAGUGGCCCUGUCGCCCCAAGUUCCUCCGAUCGUCCUACAAGCCCGACACCAAAUCUUACAUCUGGAUGGCAGCGGUGAGAUCGGCCUACGGCUCGUAGAUCAGCCUACAACUCGGAGACAGCAAUGGCAGCUCACGGACUUUGGCACAUGGUGACCGACCGGUAUCCUGAUCAAGUUGGAGGCGACUUGAGAUUGACCACCUCUUGCAACUGACUGGAUACGGUGGAGAAGGACUGGUGAUAUGGUGCUGCUUCAGUGGGCCGAUUGAAGGGGUAUCAACACACGUGUCUCUAUUCCGCCAGAUAGCCUGUGCUUCAAUGAUCUCUCGCACGUCUUUAUCUUUGUGCUUCGCAAGAACCCGGCAGGAUUCAUACACCGGCGCACACCGGAUUCAUACACCGGCUUUUUUGGAUGGGACGAAGGCCUCUUCCUGCGACCUCCAGUUACCCGUGUCCUGCUCCAUACGAUUCUAACUAGCACCUCAAGGAUCGCUUUCAAGAUGCCGCGCCCGAACGGCCGCGCCAGCAGCAGCCGCCGGAGAACAAUAAAACACCUUAGACUUGGUAAAGUAGUGCCACGCUUUGAAGAACGCCGCCUGCUCCUCGCGCGCUCUGGCCGAGGCCGACACCGCGUCGCUAUUGGCCUAAUAGCAUCACGUGGGCCCUCGCGUCGUGCAUCAGGUAUAUAGUGAGUAUACCAACUCUAGAGGAAAAGCUGGCCCGAAAAAGUGGGAACCCCUAGGGCGCCGCCCUGUUGCUACUGGUCAAUGUGGCCAGCGCAGUUGCUAUUGAUAGAGCUGAAAACAAGUACACCUCACCUUAUGCUUUGUCAGUUAAAAACGCACACCUGAUGGCUUUGUGAAGGUGAUGCGUUAAUAUUAAGUUUACAGAAAGCGCUUGCUGAGUGCGUGACUUAUGUAAAUCCCGAUGUACGCAUUCAUGCAAUAAAC
This is a non-coding RNA of Dermacentor albipictus, 2092 nucleotides long. Lineage: Eukaryota; Metazoa; Arthropoda; Arachnida; Ixodida; Ixodidae. The record is from RefSeq and is a predicted model, not a curated record.